AUUUUCUCUCCAAAAUUUUUCUUGCACACACCCCACUCUUCUCCUCCUUUUAAAAUAAUGUCAAACGUCUUAUCCACGUGAGAGGAUAAAGAUGAGUAAUUGCACAUUUGAAUUCAAAUCAAAUUUUGAAUUCAAAUGGAAACUAAUUUAUUCCUAUCCACUAAGGGCGUGAGAAGAGGAGGGCGUGGCUUAAUUUGUGCGUGAGUGAUUUUAUGAGAAACAUUUUCUC
RNAcentral lists this long non-coding RNA (229 nucleotides) under Elaeis guineensis (African oil palm). RNAcentral describes it as "long non-coding RNA (EGUI_LNC079404)". The record is from RNAcentral. Lineage: Eukaryota; Viridiplantae; Streptophyta; Magnoliopsida; Arecales; Arecaceae.